RNAcentral lists this ribosomal RNA (476 nucleotides) under Hamodactylus noumeae. RNAcentral's name for it is "partial 16S ribosomal RNA". It matches the Rfam family "Bacterial large subunit ribosomal RNA", at positions 1925 to 2612 of the family's 2925-position model. The record is from RNAcentral. Lineage: Eukaryota; Metazoa; Arthropoda; Malacostraca; Decapoda; Palaemonidae.
AAAGGGCCGCGGUAAUUUGACCGUGCAAAGGUAGCAUAAUCAAUAGUCUCUUAAUUGGAGGCUUGUAUGAAUGGUCGGAUGAAGGGUUAACUGUCUUUUCUGAGUUUAUGAAUUUAACUUUUAAGUGAAAAGUCUUAAAUUAGCUAGGGGGACGAUAAGACCCUAUAAAACUUAAUUUAAUUUAAUGAUUUAAAACUAAUUAGCUCCAAAGUUUAUAACUUUAAUUUUAAAUUGUGUUGGGGCGACAAUGAUAUAAAUGUAACUGUCAAUUUAAUUUAAUAAAAUUUUUUAGGUUUUGAUCCAAUAUUAUUGAUUAUAAGACUAAGUUACUUUAGGGAUAACAGCGUAAUUUUCCUUGAGAGUUCAUAUCGACAGGAGUAGUUGCGACCUCGAUGUUGAAUUAAGAUUUCUAGUAGGCGCAGCCGUUUAUUAAGUGGGUCUGUUCGAACCUUUAAAAUCUUACAUGAUUUGAGUUC